GGGGAUGUGGUGUAGUCGGUUUAUCACGCAGGCCUGUCACGCCUGAGGUCGCGGGUUCGAGUCCCGUCGUCCCCGCCA
RNAcentral lists this transfer RNA (78 nucleotides) under Deltaproteobacteria bacterium. RNAcentral's name for it is "tRNA-Asp". It matches the Rfam family "tRNA". From Rfam's summary of the family: Transfer RNA (tRNA) molecules are approximately 80 nucleotides in length. Their secondary structure includes four short double-helical elements and three loops (D, anti-codon, and T loops). Lineage: Bacteria; Pseudomonadati; Myxococcota; Myxococcia. The record is from RNAcentral.